CAGCCGCCGCGGUAAAACGGAGGGGGCUAGCGUUGUUCGGAAUUACUGGGCGUAAAGCGCACGUAGGCGGCUUUGUAAGUUAGAGGUGAAAGCCUGGGGCUCAACUCCAGAAUUGCCUUUAAGACUGCAUCGCUUGAACGUCGGAGAGGUGAGUGGAAUUCCGAGUGUAGAGGUGAAAUUCGUAGAUAUUCGGAAGAACACCAGUGGCGAAGGCGGCUCACUGGACGACUGUUGACGCUGAGGUGCGAAAGCGUGGGGAGCAAACAGGAUUAGAUACCCGCGUAGUCCCUGUCUCUUAUAC
RNAcentral lists this ribosomal RNA (301 nucleotides) under uncultured bacterium. RNAcentral describes it as "partial 16S ribosomal RNA". It matches the Rfam family "Bacterial small subunit ribosomal RNA", at positions 509 to 807 of the family's 1533-position model. The record is from RNAcentral.